RNAcentral lists this ribosomal RNA (406 nucleotides) under uncultured bacterium. RNAcentral describes it as "partial 16S ribosomal RNA". It matches the Rfam family "Bacterial small subunit ribosomal RNA", at positions 30 to 526 of the family's 1533-position model. The record is from RNAcentral.
AUCGAACGCUGGCGGCAGGCCUAACACAUGCAAGUCGAGCGAGCGGCGGACGGGUGAGUAAUGUCUGGUAAACUGCCUGAUGGCGGGGGAUAACUACUGGAAACGGUAUCUAAUACCGCAUACCAUCCGAUGUGCGCAGAUGGGAUUAGCUCGUAGGUGGGGUAAUGGCUCACCUAGGCGACUAUCCCUAGCUGGUCUGAGAGGAUGACCAGCCACACUGGAACUGAGACACGGUCCAGACUCCUACGGGAGGCAGCAGUGGGGAAUAUUGCACAAUGGGCGCAAGCCUGAUGCAGCCAUGCCGCGGGUGUGAAGAAGGCCUUCGGGUUGUAAAGCACUUUCAGCGGGGAGGCGUUACCCGCAGAAGAAGCACCGGCUAACUCCGUGCCAGCAGCCGCGGUAAUUC